Molecule: small nuclear RNA, 104 nt
Organism: Gracilinanus agilis (Agile Gracile Mouse Opossum)
Lineage: Eukaryota; Metazoa; Chordata; Mammalia; Didelphimorphia; Didelphidae
Source: RefSeq, a predicted model, not a curated record
CUUAUUUUGAAAUUUUAUAUACUAAAAAUGGAACAAUAAAGAAAAGAUUAGCAUUGUCUCUGUACAAGGAUGAAAUGCAAAUUCAUGAAGCAUUCCAUAUUUUU